Molecule: ribosomal RNA, 358 nt
Filed under: uncultured bacterium
Lineage: Bacteria
Description: bacterial SSU rRNA
Rfam family: Bacterial small subunit ribosomal RNA
Source: RNAcentral
AACGAACGCUGGCGGCAGGCUUAACACAUGCAAGUCGAACGCGUGCAGCAAUGCACGAGUGGCGCACGGGUGAGUAACGCGUGGAUAUCUGCCUUCUGGUUCGGAAUAACCCCGGGAAACUGGGGCUAAUACCGAAUGGUUCCUACGGGAUAAAGAUUUAUCGCCAGAAGAUGAGUCCGCGUCCGAUUAGCUAGUUGGUGAGGUAACGGCUCACCAAGGCGACGAUCGGUAGCUGGUCUGAGAGGACGAUCGGCCACACUGGGACUGAGACACGGCCCAGACUCCUACGGGAGGCAGCAGUGGGGAAUAUUGGACAAUGGGGGCAACCCUGAUCCAGCCAUGCCGCGUGAGUGAUGAA